UACGAAGGGGGCUAGCGUUGUUCGGAAUCACUGGGCGUAAAGCGCACGUAGGCGGUCUCCUAAGUCAGAGGUGAAAUCCUGGAGCUCAACUCCAGAACUGCCUUUGAUACUGGGAGCCUUGAGUUCGGGAGAGGUGAGUGGAACUGCGAGUGUAGAGGUGAAAUUCGUAGAUAUUCGCAAGAACACCAGAGGCGAAGGCGGCACACUGGCACGAUACUGACGCUGAGGUGCGAAAGCGUGGGGAGCAAACAGG
This 253-nucleotide ribosomal RNA is filed under the name uncultured bacterium. RNAcentral's name for it is "partial 16S ribosomal RNA". It matches the Rfam family "Bacterial small subunit ribosomal RNA", at positions 524 to 776 of the family's 1533-position model. The record is from RNAcentral.